RNAcentral lists this ribosomal RNA (103 nucleotides) under Hebeloma cf. erumpens UE-2008. RNAcentral's name for it is "partial 5.8S ribosomal RNA". It matches the Rfam family "5.8S ribosomal RNA", at positions 43 to 145 of the family's 154-position model. From Rfam's summary of the family: 5.8S ribosomal RNA (5.8S rRNA) is a component of the large subunit of the eukaryotic ribosome. It is transcribed by RNA polymerase I as part of the 45S precursor that also contains 18S and 28S rRNA. The record is from RNAcentral. Lineage: Eukaryota; Fungi; Basidiomycota; Agaricomycetes; Agaricales; Hymenogastraceae.
ACGCAGCGAAAUGCGAUAAGUAAUGUGAAUUGCAGAAUUCAGUGAAUCAUCGAAUCUUUGAACGCACCUUGCGCUCCUUGGUAUUCCGAGGAGCAUGCCUGUU